This is a microRNA precursor of Astatotilapia calliptera (eastern happy), 59 nucleotides long. The record is from Ensembl. NCBI's taxonomy places the organism in Eukaryota, Metazoa, Chordata, Actinopteri, Cichliformes, Cichlidae.
UCCUCCAUGCACUUUGAUGACUUAUUUUGUCAAACUGUCCUCAGAAUGCAUGGGGAUGG